Molecule: long non-coding RNA, 1020 nt
Organism: Bemisia tabaci
Lineage: Eukaryota; Metazoa; Arthropoda; Insecta; Hemiptera; Aleyrodidae
Source: RefSeq, a predicted model, not a curated record
CCGAGCCCGGCAGUCGCUCGCUUGUCUCUCACUCGGCACCGCGCGUCACUCAUCCUCACUCUUCCUCACUGACCCGACUCACGAGUCCUUUCGUCGUCCCCCGCAUCCGUCUUCCGCCCUUCUUCCCCCUGCUCAAAAAUCCGAUCCAAUUUUCAAAAAAUCCCCGAAUCUCAGCCGGAACUAGCUAGCCUUAUCGCCUAGGAGCACCGCUGAAAAACGCGUAAACGUAAUUCGAGCACAUUUCCGUAAUUAAGUACGCCAAAGGCCCUAAAAGUCACUUCUAACGAGUUUAAAUCGCGCAAGUGAGCUUUCGGCAUCUUCCUCGUUCGUAAAUUGGUUUUCCGGAUUUUUCUAGCAUCAACGAUGGCUCUCCUUACUCUCGACCCGACUGGAUUAUACUGAUAUUUGUGCUUAUCUACACUCUCGCCGAGUGUUGACCGCAACACAGAACAACACGACAGACAUGGCAGUCCUCCGGAUUUCCUCAUCCGCCCAACAAAACACAAAGAACUCGCCGAAAAAUUUUUCACAGGCUCGCCACGGCAUAUGCCAGCGAUAAGCACACUCCCGUUCCCGUACUGCCUGCCAGCAGCGGACAACGCGACAAUGAAGACUAGUGACAGAAUCAGACUGACUCUAUUCAAAGCUGUGCUCAGGAGAGCCGUCACAGGUGUCCUCCUCUCCUCCGUAGGCCCUGCCGCCGCCUGACCUCUCCAACGUCAACGCGCUCCGAACGCACAGCCCCCGAAAAACCCCACCCCCAUGACGUUUGGUUCCCAUGUAGCGACGCGCUGGACCCACAACGAGACCCAGACGAGUAGAUGAACUCUUGAGAAGACAUGCAUCCCCACCAUGGAAGAUUAGCCUCUCAAUCAGAGAGGAUUUGUCUUCCGGUUCCUCAACACUGGCUGGUCCUGCAGGAUGAUUCCGACCCCCUCAAACAUUGCUCCCCAAAACGAUUGUUCAGAGUGAUGCACGUGUAAUUUUUCUCUUGGAUCUGAAAUUCUCUGCGCUUACACU